RNAcentral lists this ribosomal RNA (424 nucleotides) under uncultured Bacteroides sp. RNAcentral describes it as "bacterial SSU rRNA". It matches the Rfam family "Bacterial small subunit ribosomal RNA", at positions 338 to 759 of the family's 1533-position model. The record is from RNAcentral. Lineage: Bacteria; Pseudomonadati; Bacteroidota; Bacteroidia; Bacteroidales; Bacteroidaceae.
CCUACGGGAGGCAGCAGUGAGGAAUAUUGGUCAAUGGGCGCAGGCCUGAACCAGCCAAGUAGCGUGAAGGAUGACUGCCCUAUGGGUUGUAAACUUCUUUUAUAUGGGAAUAAAGUUUUCCACGUGUGGAAUUUUGUAUGUACCAUAUGAAUAAGGAUCGGCUAACUCCGUGCCAGCAGCCGCGGUAAUACGGAGGAUGCGAGCGUUAUCCGGAUUUAUUGGGUUUAAAGGGAGCGCAGACGGGUCGUUAAGUCAGCUGUGAAAGUUUGCGGCUCAACCGUAAAAUUGCAGUUGAUACUGGGUGUCUUGAGUACAGUAGAGGCAGGCGGAAUUCGUGGUGUAGCGGUGAAAUGCUUAGAUAUCACGAAGAACUCCGAUUGCGAAGGCAGCCUGCUGGACUGUAACUGACGCUGAUGCUCGAAAG